Molecule: ribosomal RNA, 490 nt
Filed under: uncultured bacterium
Lineage: Bacteria
Description: partial 16S ribosomal RNA
Rfam family: Bacterial small subunit ribosomal RNA
Source: RNAcentral
AUUGAACGCUGGCGGCAUGCCUUACACAUGCAAGUCGAACGGCAGCAUGAUCUAUCUUGCUAGAUUGAUGGCGGGUGGCGCACGGGUGAGUAAUACAUCGGAACGUGCUCUGUUGUGGGGGAUAACUAGUCGAAAGAUUAGCUAAUACCGCAUACGACCUGAGGGUGAAAGUGGGUGACCGCAACGCCUCAUGCUAUAGAAUCGGCCGAUGUCUGAUUAGCUAGUUGGUGAGGUAAAGGCUCACCCAGGCGACGAUCAGUAGCUGGUCUGAGAGGACGAUCAGCCACACUGGGACUGAGACACGGCCCAGACUCCUACGGGAGGCAGCGGUGGGGAAUUUUGGACAAUGGGCGAAAGCCUGAUCCAGCCCUGCCGCGUGUGUGAAGAAGGCCUUCGGGUUGUAAAGCACUUUUGUCCGGAAAGAAAUGGCUCUGGUUAAUACCUGGGGUCGAUGACGGUACCGGAAGAAUAAGGACCGGCUAACUACGUG